This 468-nucleotide ribosomal RNA is filed under the name uncultured bacterium. Its description in RNAcentral is "partial 16S ribosomal RNA". It matches the Rfam family "Bacterial small subunit ribosomal RNA", at positions 28 to 507 of the family's 1533-position model. The record is from RNAcentral.
GACGAACGCUGGCGGCGUGCUUAACACAUGCAAGUCGAACGGAAAGGCCCUGCUUUUGUGGGGUGCUCGAGUGGCGAACGGGUGAGUAACACGUGAGUAACCUGCCCUUGACUUUGGGAUAACUUCAGGAAACUGGGGCUAAUACCGGAUAGGAGCUCCUGCUGCAUGGUGGGGGUUGGAAAGUUUCGGCUGUUGGGGAUGGACUCGCGGCUUAUCAGCUUGUUGGUGGGGUAGUGGCUUACCAAGGCUUUGACGGGUAGCCGGCCUGAGAGGGUGACCGGCCACAUUGGGACUGAGAUACGGCCCAGACUCCUACGGGAGGCAGCAGUGGGGAAUAUUGCACAAUGGGCGGAAGCCUGAUGCAGCAACGCCGCGUGCGGGAUGACGGCCUUCGGGUUGUAAACCGCUUUCGCCUAUGACGAAGCGUGAGUGACGGUAAUGGGUAAAGAAGCACCGGCUAACUACGUG